Molecule: long non-coding RNA, 728 nt
Filed under: Macaca mulatta (Rhesus monkey)
Lineage: Eukaryota; Metazoa; Chordata; Mammalia; Primates; Cercopithecidae
Description: lncRNA (ENSMMUG00000050384.1)
Source: RNAcentral
CUUUUUUUAAAAAACAGAAAAGUUUUUGUUUUGGUUUUGCAUUCAAAGAGUUAAAGCUUUAAGGAAUUGAGGCAUAGACUUCAUGCUAUAAAGAGAAGAUUGGAAGCAAGGGUUCUUAACCUCGUGUUUGUAAACAGAACAAAAUUUCAAUGUAAUUUGUUUCCCGUUAUAUUCCUAUGUAUAUGAUUUUAUGCAUCUAAAACAUUUUUCUGAAAAGAAACUCACAGGACUCAUCAGGCCACCAAAGGGGCCCGUGACACAAACACGGUUAACUGUCCCAGGUUGGUGACGGGCAGAUGGCAUCCCCUUCAAAACUAGCAAGAGGUCACUGGGGCUGCAGGAGGCAUCAGUCCAGCAUAUAGGCAGCAUGGAGUCCUGGCACGUCAGAGGGUUGUGACUGCAUCUGAAUCUCCCCCUGCCUCAAGGAGACACAGGGUGGCUGAGACAGACUGAGCCGGCAGUUGCAGAGGACAGCUCCACGUGGGGCAGCAGGAGGCCAGAGCACAAGGCGUGAGGGACUGUUCGUCUGAGGCCUAGGAGAGGAUGCUGUUCCAGCUCAGCUGAUGCCACCACGAAGGCAUUUCUGCAAAGGUGUGGAAGGAUCCACAUGGUGGCUUCUGGACAAAGCACAGCAAUUGGAUCCUCAAUUAUGUGGCCCUUGGACAUCGCGACUUCAGCAAGCAUCCUUCCUUCUCUGCAAACACAGCUUUGAAGCUGAAACCAGUUGG